Molecule: long non-coding RNA, 2728 nt
Organism: Aedes albopictus (Asian tiger mosquito)
Lineage: Eukaryota; Metazoa; Arthropoda; Insecta; Diptera; Culicidae
Exons: 2
Source: RefSeq, a predicted model, not a curated record
CCAGGGGUUCUUUUUAGAAAUCAUGCUGGAAUUUCUACAUGUACAAUAUAUAUUUGCUUUGAUUGAUCCAGUAACUUCUGCUGGAGUUCCUUUACAACAUUUUCUUUUAAUUUCUAUAAAAGAACCUUUUCAGAUAUUUUCCUAAUAAUGGUUCAUUGUCACAAUAGAUCUAAAAACAGGUCGCAGUGACUUAUAUACCCAACAAGGAAUAAAAAAAAAAUGGUUCAUGCAUUCUUCCUAUGAUACCCCAAAAAAAUGCGUCAGGAACUCCUACUGGAAUUUCUCCAGAAAUUCUUGCUGAUGUUCCUGCAGGACUCUAUUCAGUAAUUUCUACAGGAACACCUCUAUUGAUGCAUUCAGAGAUUUCAGUAGAUAUUUCUGCAAUAAUUCCUACAUGAAUUAUUCCGUGCAUUCAUCCACGAAUAAAUCUACGGAUGGCACAAAUUUCCCAAAUGGAUGAUAACGGGGGCUCCUGGGGCAAGAGGACCUACUGAUAAAUAAUUCUAGCGAUUUUCCUAAGGAUUUUUUCAAGAAUUCAUUUUAGAAUUUCUUCAGGGAUUUUUCUAGGAAUUUCUUAAAAUAUAAAUCUAUUAAUGUCUUCAGUUAUUACUCAUAAAGGAAUUACUCUAGAAUUCCUCUAUUAGAUUUCCCAAUUGGGCAUCGUCUAUGAAUUUACAUGGGGUUCCUCUUGGAUUUUUUUCAGGGUUACCUCUUGGUAUUCCUAUACGAAAAACUACAUGCAGAAAAAUCUUUUUCGCGUUGUUCAUUAUAGCCACAACUGCUCUUGAAAAUUGAUCAAUAAUUGUGAAUCACUUUCUACGUUAUGGACGCUUGACGCUUUCCGAUAUUGCCCAAACAUGAUCGAUCAUAAAUUAUCGGUUAGCGUGAUUUUCCUCAUGGUUGGAGGUGCCAACCAGGUAUGGCAAAAAUACUUUUUUCUCUUUUCCGUUCAUCGAUACCGACAGUAAAAUAAAAACAAAACAACGGCAGCACCAAUACCAUCAGCAGCCGCGCCGUCGGCAGUCAAGCUGGCGCUUGAUAGUUUUCGCUUCCCCACAAAAAUAUUUAUGAGCAGUCAUGCCGAGGCGGGUGAUUGCGAAAAAUGUUAAAUAUUUUCAACUGCUAAUAACUCAUUCAUUUGUUUUAGUGAAUAAUUUGAAUCUGUUUGCACAAAUAGCUAGAGCACACUCCUAGCUUUGUGAUGCAUAUAAAGAAGUUUGUCUAGAAGCGGUUUGCAACGCAGAAAAAUGCGAAAAUGGGAGAGACAGAAAUUUUUGUCGUCGUUGUGCUCGAGUACCGGCGCUCUCGCGCUUGGAAACCAUUUCGAUGAAGAAGGCUGCUGGAAAAAAAAAUGUUAUGACAUUUAUUUUUCGAACAGUUUGAGUUUGGCUGGGCCUAUUUUUCGUGUAGAAAAAUGUCAAAUGUACAGCCGGUAACCGUUUUUUCCAGUACAUUUCUCAUCCCUGGUGCCAACAACGCUCAAAAUUUGGCAGAUGGCACUUACAAAGUUGCAAUCUUUUUCACAUACACUAGUAUGUCAGCUGCCUGCCAUUUAGACGUGAACAUUUUUUGGAUCUAGAAUAUUUUUUUAGAAUUAAAAAUAAAAAAGUAUUUCAAACAAAAAAAAUAUUUUUUUUUAUUUACAAUUUUUGUCUCGUUCAGCUGUCGUAUUGAAAACAACAAAUUUUAUAGUUGAAUGAACAAAAUAAAAUUGUAGAAUUCAAAGUCUGUUUAUAACAAUAAUGAGCUUCAAAAAUAUUUUUUUUUGAUUCAAUAAGAUGAAAUUUCUCUGCGUGUAUUGCUUCUGAAUUCUCCUGAGAUUCAUGCUGAAAUUUAUCAACCCAUUUCAUACCAAUAUUGUUGUGAUUCCUCCUGGAACUGCUCCAGAUAUUUCCCCAGUACUUUUUUCGGGAUUUCCUCUAUACAGGGUGUUAGGCUCCUGAGUGCAUACUUUUUAAAGGGUGAUAGAGGACCAUAAAUGGUGAAAAAAUUGUUUUUUUUUUUUUGAAGGUUCCUAGCGGCACGCCGACGGACGUAGAAACCUCUCCCAUCAUUGUGCGCACAAGCGUCUCGCGAUUGCGCGGACAACGACAGUUCACUAGGCCUUUGGAUAGGAUAGAGAACGUGAUCCUUCAGAAGCAGUUCACCAGCCGUGCACGAAACAUGUCGUCCACACUGCGAACUCUGCAUUACCCUUUAAAGUGCAAAACGUACCCAUUUUUUGCAGAUGUAUGGAGCUGUCAAAAAACAGGGUAAUUUUAAAUUUUGCGAAAAGAGUAAAUUUUGCCCUGUUUGAUGAAUGGAGCUCUUACCCAUUUGUGGGUGAAAAACAUCUUGAACUUUUUCUCUGUCCUCCUUUCGGUAAAGCAGCAGGAACAGAUCUUAAAUUAGAUUUUCGUCAAAGUUAGAAAACUGAAGUUGCAGAAAUGAUGGUUUUAUUUGAAACGCCGAUAUCCUUCCAGAAUUUGGGAUCUAGCUUGGGAUGCCAAAAGAUUCCCCCACCAUACGAAAGAUCCUCCGGAACAUCUCGACAAGCGAAUGCAGCACAAUUACUUUCCGGGGACAAUUACUGCAGUAUAGUUCAAAAGCGAAGUAAGGAUUGGUGCAAGAUCGGCCUCACAAUGAAGCACUUUAAAACAAUGUUUUCGCAUUACAAGUAGUGUUAAAGUGUAGUCAUUUAUGAUCAUUUCCUAUUGUAUUUGGAUAAAAUAAAGUAUUCUCGUACGUA